ACUUGAUUAGUUUAAAAAAAACAAAGAUUUGUGGUGUCUAAAAUACAUUAUGUAUCAAGUC
This 61-nucleotide transfer RNA is filed under the name Petalocephala chlorophana. RNAcentral describes it as "tRNA-His". Lineage: Eukaryota; Metazoa; Arthropoda; Insecta; Hemiptera; Cicadellidae. The record is from RNAcentral.